CAGUUGCCUAGGGUAGCUCCCGAAAAGCAGAACCUGUGACUGCCUGGCAACUGAUUUGUAAUCACAGG
RNAcentral lists this non-coding RNA (68 nucleotides) under unclassified sequences. RNAcentral describes it as "int-alpA RNA". It matches the Rfam family "int-alpA RNA". Rfam says of the family: Acidobacteria (1 example), Planctomycetes (1 example), Proteobacteria. Environment (Lake Washington) The record is from Rfam by way of RNAcentral.